ACACUCCAAAGUUACACGUCACAAAUUAGGUUUGUAGAGAGAGGGAGUAAAAUGGGAUAGGAAAUGAGAGAAGGAGAAAAACGGACCUCCACAACGGCGUGAGCGAGAGUACGAUGGCCUGAAUGAGAGUACGGUGGUGAAGGCCGUUAUCGGCGGCGGCAAGUGGUUGUCGGAAUGGUGGAGGUUGCGCCGGUGAGGAUGGUGUUACGGUGGAUGGAAAUCGGGUUAGGUUUUUCUGAAUCGAGAGAGGGUCGUGGGAGAUCGUCGUGGUCGUGGCUUGAAGAUGGAACGCAGAACGACGAUGCUCGAGUCGAAAGAUGAAGAGCGGAAGCGAAUCAAUUCCGAAAAGGAUUGAAGAGACUUUGAUGGAAUGGAAAAGUGGCUGCUCCAAGCUUCAAGACAGCAUGUUUUUGCACCUAGGACCAAAGGAGUGUUUAACCACUUAGUCAAAAAAAAUGUAAUUAUUUAGUCAAAAAAUGUAAUUAUUUAGUUUAAUAAUUAUAGCUCUGAGAUAUCUAA
Molecule: long non-coding RNA, 519 nt
Organism: Lathyrus oleraceus (garden pea)
Lineage: Eukaryota; Viridiplantae; Streptophyta; Magnoliopsida; Fabales; Fabaceae
Exons: 2
Source: RefSeq, a predicted model, not a curated record